This 497-nucleotide ribosomal RNA is filed under the name uncultured bacterium. RNAcentral's name for it is "partial 16S ribosomal RNA". It matches the Rfam family "Bacterial small subunit ribosomal RNA", at positions 28 to 507 of the family's 1533-position model. The record is from RNAcentral.
GAUGAACGCUGGCGGCGUGCCUAAUACAUGCAAGUCGAGCGAACAGACGGGGAGCUUGCUCCUCUGACGUUAGCGGCGGACGGGUGAGUAACACGUGGAUAACCUACCUAUAAGACUGGGAUAACUUCGGGAAACCGGAGCUAAUACCGGAUAAUAUAUUGAACCGCAUGGUUCAUUAGUGAAAGACGGUUUUGCUGUCACUUAUAGAUGGAUCCGCGCCGCAUUAGCUAGUUGGUAAGGUAACGGCUUACCAAGGCGACGAUGCGUAGCCGACCUGAGAGGGUGAUCGGCCACACUGGAACUGAGACACGGUCCAGACUCCUACGGGAGGCAGCAGUAGGGAAUCUUCCGCAAUGGGCGAAAGCCUGACGGAGCAACGCCGCGUGAGUGAUGAAGGUCUUCGGAUCGUAAAACUCUGUUAUUAGGGAAGAACAAAUGUGUAAGUAACUAUGCACGUCUUGACGGUACCUAAUCAGAAAGCCACGGCUAACUACGUG